AACUUAGUAGAUUAGAUAGAUCAUAAUGUUGAAGCCGUUAAGGAAGGUUUUACCUUUAAGUUA
This 63-nucleotide transfer RNA is filed under the name Nemertoderma westbladi. RNAcentral's name for it is "tRNA-Phe". Lineage: Eukaryota; Metazoa; Xenacoelomorpha; Nemertodermatida; Nemertodermatidae. The record is from RNAcentral.